This 76-nucleotide transfer RNA is filed under the name Chloroflexota bacterium. RNAcentral describes it as "Chloroflexi bacterium tRNA-Lys". It matches the Rfam family "tRNA". From Rfam's summary of the family: Transfer RNA (tRNA) molecules are approximately 80 nucleotides in length. Their secondary structure includes four short double-helical elements and three loops (D, anti-codon, and T loops). The record is from RNAcentral. Lineage: Bacteria; Bacillati; Chloroflexota.
GGGGGCGUAGCUCAGCCGGUAGAGCAACGGACUUUUAAUCCGUGAGUCGUGGGUUCGAGUCCCACCGCCCUCACCA